UCUGGUUGAUCCUGCCAGUAGUGAUAUGCUUGUUUCAAAGAUUAAGCCAUGCAUGUCUAAGUAUAAGCGAACUUAUACAGUGAAACUGCGGAUGGCUCAUUAAAACAGUUUGAAUUUAUUUGAUGAAUGUAUGAGAAUACUACUUGGAUAACCGUAGUAAUUCUAGAGCUAAUACAUGCAACGACGCCCGACCGUUUCACUACGGAAGGGCUGUAUUUAUUGGAUACCAAAACCAUCCUUCCCUCGGGAAGUUUUGUUUGAUGAUUCACAAUAACUGAUCGGAUCGCCACUGUGGUGGCGACAGGUCAUUCAUCAUUCUGCCCUAUCAGCUUUCGAUGGUUGUGUAGUGGACAACCAUGGCCAUAACGGGUAACGGAGAAUCAGGGUUCGAUUCCGGAGAAGGAGCUUGAGAAUUGGCUACUACAUCUAAGGAAGGCAGCAGGCGCGCAAAUUACCCAAUCCCGAUUCGGGGAGGUAGUGACAAAAAAUAACAAUACCGGGCCUUUUUGGGCUUGGUAAUUGGAAUGAGGGAGAGUUAAACGGACCAUCGAGUAUCCAUUGGAGGGCAAGUCUGGUGCCAGCAGCUGCGGUAAUACCAGCUCCAAUAGCGUAUAUUAAAGUUGUUGCAGUUAAAAGCUCGUAGUUGGACUUGUGUGCGCUGUCCGCGGGUGGCCUGCGCCCAAAACGGCGUUUCGGUUCGGCCCCGGUGGCGCCUUGAAAUCUGCAGCUGGGGGGACGUUGGCCUUAACUGGUCGGCGACCGCACGCCGGCUGCUCGGUUACUGUGAGAAAAUUAGAGUGUUCAAGGCAGGCAUUGGGUGCAAUUGAAUACAUUAGCAUGGAAUAAUAAAAUAUGGCUCCUGCCGUAUUUUGUUGGUUCUGACUGGUGGGAGUAAUGAUUGAUAGGGACGGUUGGGGGUGCUAGUAUUGAGCGGCCAGAGGUGAAGUUCAUGGAUUCGCUCAAGACUAACUUAUGCGAAAGCAUUCACCAAGGACGUCCUCUUUAAUCAAGAACGAAAGUUGGGGGAUCGAAGACGAUCAGAUACCGUCGUAGUCUCAACCAUAAACUAUGUCGACUUGGGAUCGGCGGUAGUUUUUUCAUUAAGACACUGUCGGGACCACGGGAGAAAUCAAAGUGUCUGGACUCUGGGGGAAGUAUGGUCGCAAGGCUGAAACUUGAAGGAAUUGACGGAAGGGCACCACCAGGAGUGGAGCCUGCGGCUUAAUUUGACCCAACACGGGGAAACUUACCAGGUCCAGAGAUGUAGAGGAUUGACAGAUUGAAGCUCUUUCUUGAUCACUUCGGUGGUGGUGCAUGGCCGUUCUUAGUUGGUGGAGUGAUUUGUCUGGUUA
Molecule: ribosomal RNA, 1352 nt
Filed under: metagenome
Description: SSU rRNA
Rfam family: Eukaryotic small subunit ribosomal RNA
Source: RNAcentral